RNAcentral lists this non-coding RNA (29 nucleotides) under Mus musculus (house mouse). The record is from RNAcentral. Lineage: Eukaryota; Metazoa; Chordata; Mammalia; Rodentia; Muridae.
UGAAAAUAAUUACAGUUGACAUUUCCAUC